GUACUCACUCUGGGAGCACAUAUACUAAAAUUGGAACAAUACAGAAAAAAUUAGCAUGGCCCUGUGCAAGGAUGACACAUAAAUUUGUGAAAUAUUCCCUAUUUUU
Molecule: small nuclear RNA, 106 nt
Organism: Nycticebus coucang (slow loris)
Lineage: Eukaryota; Metazoa; Chordata; Mammalia; Primates; Lorisidae
Source: RefSeq, a predicted model, not a curated record